This 800-nucleotide ribosomal RNA is filed under the name uncultured bacterium. RNAcentral describes it as "bacterial SSU rRNA". It matches the Rfam family "Bacterial small subunit ribosomal RNA", at positions 80 to 877 of the family's 1533-position model. The record is from RNAcentral.
UGCACCUGGUGGCGAGUGGCGAACGGGUGAGUAAUACAUCGGAACAUGUCCUGUAGUGGGGGAUAGCCCGGCGAAAGCCGGAUUAAUACCGCAUACGAUCCACGGAUGAAAGCGGGGGACCUUCGGGCCUCGCGCUAUAGGGUUGGCCGAUGGCUGAUUAGCUAGUUGGUGGGGUAAAGGCCUACCAAGGCGACGAUCAGUAGCUGGUCUGAGAGGACGACCAGCCACACUGGGACUGAGACACGGCCCAGACUCCUACGGGAGGCAGCAGUGGGGAAUUUUGGACAAUGGGCGAAAGCCUGAUCCAGCAAUGCCGCGUGUGUGAAGAAGGCCUUCGGGUUGUAAAGCACUUUUGUCCGGAAAGAAAUCCCUGGCUCUAAUACAGUCGGGGGAUGACGGUACCGGAAGAAUAAGCACCGGCUAACUACGUGCCAGCAGCCGCGGUAAUACGUAGGGUGCGAGCGUUAAUCGGAAUUACUGGGCGUAAAGCGUGCGCAGGCGGUCUGUUAAGACAGAUGUGAAAUCCCCGGGCUCAACCUGGGAACUGCAUUUGUGACUGGCAGGCUAGAGUAUGGCAGAGGGGGGUAGAAUUCCACGUGUAGCAGUGAAAUGCGUAGAGAUGUGGAGGAAUACCGAUGGCGAAGGCAGCCCCCUGGGCCAAUACUGACGCUCAUGCACGAAAGCGUGGGGAGCAAACAGGAUUGGAUACCCUGGUAGUCCACGCCCUAAACGAUGUCAACUAGUUGUUGGGGAUUCAUUUCCUUAGUAACGUAGCUAACGCGUGAAGUUGACCGCCUGGG